CACUAUCAGAGUGCGAUCCGGUAAAUUGCUGGGGUUCAUUAUAAGUGAAAGAGGAAUCGAGGUUGAUCCUGCUAAAAAAAAUAAUAAAAAAAAUAAUAGGAGAAAUGCCUAAACCGAAAAAAAGAAGAAAAAAGAGUAGGUUCGUGGUUUCUUAGAAUAGAUUGAACUACCUGUCAUGGUUCACAUCUCAUCUAACAGCCACGUGUGAACCUAUAUUCAAGU
RNAcentral lists this long non-coding RNA (222 nucleotides) under Lathyrus oleraceus (garden pea). RNAcentral's name for it is "Pisum sativum (pea) long non-coding RNA (PSAT_LNC017039)". Lineage: Eukaryota; Viridiplantae; Streptophyta; Magnoliopsida; Fabales; Fabaceae. The record is from RNAcentral.